UCCCUGAUUGUCUAGUGGCUAGGAUUCGGCGCUUUCACCGCCGCGGCCCGGGUUCGCGUCCCGGGUUCGAUUCCCGGUCAGGGAA
This is a non-coding RNA of Sebastes umbrosus (honeycomb rockfish), 85 nucleotides long. Lineage: Eukaryota; Metazoa; Chordata; Actinopteri; Perciformes; Sebastidae. The record is from the annotation of a RefSeq genome assembly.